UGCUGCCAGUUGCAACGGGUGAAGCCGGGCACUCUGGCGGGACUGCCAUCGACAAGAUGGAGGAAGGUGGGGAUGACGUCAAGUCAUCAUGGCCCUUAUGUCCAGGGCGACACACGUGCUACAAUGGCCGGCACAGCGGGAAGCGAGGCAGUGAUGCCAAGCGGAUCCCUUAAAGCCGGUCUCAGUUCGGAUUGAAGUCUGCAACUCGACUUCAUGAAGCUGGAAUCGCUAGUAAUCGCAGAUCAGCCAAGCUGCGGUGAAUACGUUCCCGGGCCUU
This 277-nucleotide ribosomal RNA is filed under the name uncultured Synergistaceae bacterium. Its description in RNAcentral is "partial 16S ribosomal RNA". It matches the Rfam family "Bacterial small subunit ribosomal RNA", at positions 1106 to 1382 of the family's 1533-position model. The record is from RNAcentral. Lineage: Bacteria; Thermotogati; Synergistota; Synergistia; Synergistales; Synergistaceae.